UUACUGCUUCCUUCGUCUAGAAAUACUUGUCGUAGAAAUAGAUAAAAAAAUGAAUGUAUCUAAAACUAAUAUACAUUUAGAUACAUUCAUUUCUCCAACAAGUAUUUUCGGACGAAGGGAGUACUAG
Triticum aestivum (bread wheat) is the source of this 127-nucleotide non-coding RNA. NCBI's taxonomy places the organism in Eukaryota, Viridiplantae, Streptophyta, Magnoliopsida, Poales, Poaceae. The record is from Rfam.